UACGUAGGGGGCUAGCGUUGUCCGGAUUUAUUGGGCGUAAAGAGCGUGUAGGCGGCCAGGUAGGUCCGUUGUGAAAACUCGAGGCUCAACCUCGAGACGUCGGCGGAAACCCUCUGGCUAGAGUCCGGAAGAGGAGAGUGGAAUUCCUGGUGUAGCGGUGAAAUGCGCAGAUAUCAGGAAGAACACCCGUGGCGAAGGCGGCUCUCUGGAACGCAACUGACGCUGAGACGCGAAAGCGUGGGGAGCAAACAGG
This 253-nucleotide ribosomal RNA is filed under the name uncultured bacterium. RNAcentral describes it as "partial 16S ribosomal RNA". It matches the Rfam family "Bacterial small subunit ribosomal RNA", at positions 524 to 776 of the family's 1533-position model. The record is from RNAcentral.